GCCCCCGUAGCUCAACUGGAAAGAGCGGAGGGUUUCUACCCCUCAGGUUGCGGGUUCGAGUCCUGUCGGGGGUG
Molecule: transfer RNA, 74 nt
Filed under: Acidimicrobiaceae bacterium
Lineage: Bacteria; Bacillati; Actinomycetota; Acidimicrobiia; Acidimicrobiales; Acidimicrobiaceae
Description: tRNA-Arg
Rfam family: tRNA
About the family: Transfer RNA (tRNA) molecules are approximately 80 nucleotides in length. Their secondary structure includes four short double-helical elements and three loops (D, anti-codon, and T loops).
Source: RNAcentral